This 460-nucleotide ribosomal RNA is filed under the name uncultured bacterium. Its description in RNAcentral is "bacterial SSU rRNA". It matches the Rfam family "Bacterial small subunit ribosomal RNA", at positions 33 to 507 of the family's 1533-position model. The record is from RNAcentral.
ACGCUGGCGGCGUGCCUAACACAUGCAAGUCGAGCGAAUGAAGUUCCUUCGGGAAUGGAUUUAGCGGCGGACGGGUGAGUAACACGUGGGCAACCUGCCUCAUAGAGGGGAAUAGCCUUUCGAAAGGAAGAUUAAUACCGCAUAAGAUUGUAGUAUCGCAUGGUACAGCAAUUAAAGGAGCAAUCCGCUAUGAGAUGGGCCCGCGGCGCAUUAGCUAGUUGGUGAGGUAACGGCUCACCAAGGCGACGAUCAGUAGCCGGUCUGAGAGGAUGAACGGCCACAUUGGGACUGAGACACGGCCCAAACUCCUACGGGAGGCAGCAGUGGGGAAUAUUGCACAAUGGAGGAAACUCUGAUGCAGCAACGCCGCGUGAGGGAAGAAGGUCUUCGGAUUGUAAACCUUUGUUUUUGGUGACGAAUAAUGACGGUAGCCAAAGAGGAAGCCACGGCUAACUACGUG